Molecule: ribosomal RNA, 468 nt
Filed under: uncultured bacterium
Lineage: Bacteria
Description: partial 16S ribosomal RNA
Rfam family: Bacterial small subunit ribosomal RNA
Source: RNAcentral
GACGAACGCUGGCGGCGUGCCUAACACAUGCAAGUCGAACGGAAAGGCCCUGCUUUUGUGGGGUGCUCGAGUGGCGAACGGGUGAGUAACACGUGAGUAACCUGCCCUCGACUUUGGGAUAACUUCAGGUAACUGGGGCUAAUACCGGAUAGGAGCUCCCGCUGCAUGGUGGGGGUUGGAAAGUUUCGGCGGUUGGGGAUGGACUCGCGGCUUAUCAGCUUGUUGGUGGGGUAGUGGCUUACCAAGGCUUUGACGGGUAGCCGGCCUGGGAGGGUGACCGGCCACAUGGGGACUGAGAUACGGCCCAGACUCCUACGGGAGGCAGCAGUGGGGAAUAUUGCACAAUGGGCGGAAGCCUGAGGCAACAACGCCGCGUGCGGGAUGACGGCCUUCGGGUUGUGAACCACUUUCGCCUGUGACGAAGCGGGAGUGACGGUAAUGGGUAAAGAAGCACCGGCUAACUACGUG